AUAAAAUUGUAAAAAGAUGGACAAAAAGUAUACACAAAAAGAAAAAUGAAAGAGAAAAGAGAGACAUUGAUGGGGAAAUAAGGGAAGUGGGAGCGAAGGCCCUCGUGGGAGAUGAUGCGAAGCCACACUCACUCAGCCCUAUUCUCUUCAGCACUCACCACUCAACACAACCACAAAGUUUUAGUCCUUUUGUUCCUCUUUUCAUUUACCGUUUUAUAAGGUCCAUCCUAAGUUGACAGAUCUAUAUUAUGUUUGAUCGUGCAACGUUUAAUCUAUUUUUUUUAUUGAAGAUGUUGCUGAUAAUUUACUUUGUGGUAAUCAGGCUAGCAUUCUGCGACCGAUAAUAGUUUCUAUUUUUUUAUUGUUAUGGCAUUACUAAAUACUACUAAACAAGUUUAUACUAUUCCUCUGACUAUUUUAGUGAUAUAAUAUAUAACCUAAUUUAGUUCUAAAUGUGAAAGUGUUCUAUAUACUGUAAAAAAUUUCAUAACGUUUAAUAAAUGUGAAAGUGUUAGAGCAUCAGCAAUGGUGUGCUCUCACACAAGCUCUCUUUAUUAAAUAUAAAUACAAUUAAUUAUAAAUUAAGAGAGAGAAUGUAGAAGCGUUCUAUACCAAGAACAUGUUCUAACAAAUAUUCUAGAUGUGUCAUCAUUCUAAUGGUCUAUGUUAGGCCUGGGCGUUUUUAACUUAAUCCGAAGUAUCUACCUAGAUCCGAAUCAGAAAAACCAAAACCGAAUUCGAACUGUUAUACAAAAAUAUCCGAACGGGACUUAUGAGCUUAGUACUUUGGUGUUUGGUUAUAAUCCGAACCGAACCGGCAUCCGAACUAGGAUCCGAAGAUAUCCGAAAUUAGUUAAAUAUGUUAAAGUUUGUAUAUAUUUAAGAUGAUUUAGAUAUUUUAAGAUAUUCAAAAUAUUUUUUUAGUUUGUUUUAAUUGUUAUUUUGAAUACUUUUUAGUUAAUUUAGAUAAUUUAACUAAUUUUUAAUUAGAUUUGUAAAUAAUUUAUAUAUUUAGAAAAAAAAUUGUCAAUUUUUAAGGUUUUAAAAAAAUAUUUUUGGACGAUUUUAAACAUUGGUUACAUCCGAUCCGAACCGAACCCGAAAGAAACCGAACCGAAACCGAUCUGAUAAUUAGUAAAAUCUGAAUGGUAUUUCAUUAUCAUUUUGGGUUCGGGUAUCCGUUCGGAUGCUUUAUCCGUUCGGGUGGGCGUUCGGGUCCUUAAUAAAAUGAGGGACCCACUAAAUAUUUUAAUAUUAUUUUGUUAAGGAUUUUGGCAUAAAAUCCGCUGUUGCGGUUGGUCUAACUGUCCUUUAGUCUUAGACAAUUAAGGUCACGUCUUGCGAAAUUCUUCUUUUCUAGAGCUUGGGCGGAUAAGAGUAAUUCUUAAACCAUCAAAUGAUUUGUCAGGGUAAUUUGUUUUCCCUAUAUGUUAUGUAUAUUUUCCCUCUGGUCUAUUAUUUCCUCUAUCGAUCUUUGUAUAGUUGGUAAUAGAUACUUUGGUCCUCGCUCACAUAUGCAAUGUGAUAAUGACUAGGUUCAACAUCAAUAUUAUAUUCUGUUUUUAGAUGGGUCUAGUAUAUAGCAAUAAAUCAUAAUAAUGCAAUGUAUAUUCUAUAUACUAUUCUUAUUUUUUAAAAUAAAAUUGUAAAAAGAUGGACAAAAAGUAUACACAAAAAGAAAAAUGAAAGAGAAAAGAGAGACAUUGAUGGGGAAAUAAGGGAAGUGGGAGCGAAGGCCCUCGUGGGAGAUGAUGCGAAGCCACACUCACUCAGCCCUAUUCUCUUCAGCACUCACCACUCAACACAACCACAAAGUUUUAGUCCUUUUGUUCCUCUUUUCAUUUACCGUUUUAUAAGGUCCAUCCUAAGUUGACAGAUCUAUAUUAUGUUUGAUCGUGCAACGUUUAAUCUAUUUUUUUUAUUGAAGAUGUUGCUGAUAAUUUACUUUGUGGUAAUCAGGCUAGCAUUCUGCGACCGAUAAUAGUUUCUAUUUUUUUAUUGUUAUGGCAUUACUAAAUACUACUAAACAAGUUUAUACUAUUCCUCUGACUAUUUUAGUGAUAUAAUAUAUAACCUAAUUUAGUUCUAAAUGUGAAAGUGUUCU
Molecule: long non-coding RNA, 2104 nt
Filed under: Brassica napus (rape)
Lineage: Eukaryota; Viridiplantae; Streptophyta; Magnoliopsida; Brassicales; Brassicaceae
Description: long non-coding RNA (BNAP_LNC006452)
Source: RNAcentral